Molecule: ribosomal RNA, 333 nt
Filed under: uncultured bacterium
Lineage: Bacteria
Description: partial 16S ribosomal RNA
Rfam family: Bacterial small subunit ribosomal RNA
Source: RNAcentral
CCUACGGGAGGCAGCAGUGGGGAAUAUUGGGCAAUGGGCGCAAGCCUGACCCAGCAACGCCGCGUGAAGGAAGAAGGCUUUCGGGUUGUAAACUUCUUUUCUCAGGGACGAAGCAAGUGACGGUACCUGAGGAAUAAGCCACGGCUAACUACGUGCCAGCAGCCGCGGCAAUACGUAGGUGGCAAGCGUUAUCCGGAUUGACUGGGUGUAAAGGGCGGGUAGGCGGGGAGGCAAGUCAGAGGUGAAAACCACGGGCUCAACCGGUGGCCUUCAUUGGAAACUGUGUUUCUUGGGUACUGGGGAGGCAGACGGAAUUCCUGGUGUGGCGGUAAA